CCAUGUCCAGGUUGAAGCUGCUGUAAAAGGCGGUGGAGGACCGAACGCACAUCCGUUGAAAAGGGUGGCGAUGAGGUGUGGGUAGGGGAGAAAUUCCAAUCGAACUCGGAGAUAGCUGGUUCUCCUCGAAAUAGUUUUAGGACUAGCCUGUCAAGAGUCUGCCGGAGGUAGAGCACUGAAUUUCCGCGGGGGCGUCAAAGCUUACCAAAGAAUAUCAAACUCCGAAUGCCGGCCAGAUGAUUUGAUGGAGUCAGACUGCACGAGAUAAGUUGGGUAGUCAAAAGGGAAACAGCCCAGACCACCAGCUAAGGUCCCAAAGUGCGUGUUAAGUGGAAAAGGAUGUGGGGAUUCGAAGACAACUAGGAUGUUGGCUCAGAAGCAGCCAUACAUUCAAAGAGUGCGUAACAGCUCACUAGUCGAGAGUCCCUGCGCCGAAAAUGUCCGGGGCUGAAACACGACACCGAAGCUGUGGAAUCAUGCUUGCAUGAUUGGUAGAGGAGCAUUCUUAACCCAGCGAAGCAUUACCGGAAGGAGAUGUGGAGAGUUAAGAAGAGAGAAUGCCGGAAUGAGUAGCGAGAAAUAGGUGAGAAUCCUAUUGGCCGAAUAUCUAAGGUUUCCAGAGUAAAGUUGAUCUGCUCUGGGUAAGUCGGGGCCUAAGGCGAGGUCGAAAGACGUAGUCGAUGGAUAACAGGUUGAGAUUCCUGUACUCCGUAAUAUAAGAAAUGUGGGGACACAGAGGCGAAGCAUGAGCCGGGAAUGGAAAGACCGGUGCAAGCACAGGAGGUGCAUGGGAGGCAAAUCCCCCAUGUAAGCCGGAGGUGUGAAGCGGAGCGAACAUAAGGGUAGCGAAGCAUGUGGAGCAGCUGUCGGGAAAAGCCGCUAUAAAGUAUUACGGACCCGUACCGUAAACCGACACAGGUGGAUGAGGAGAGAAUCCUAAGGCCGACGGAAGAAGCAUUGUUAAGGAAUUCGGCAAAAUGACCCCGUAACUUCGGGAGAAGGGGUGCCUUGGAAACAAGGCCGCAGAGAAUUGGCCCAAGCAACUGUUUAGCAAAAACACAGGUCUAUGCGAAACCGAAAGGUGAGGUAUAUGGGCUGACACCUGCCCGGUGCUGGAAGGUUAAGGGGAGUGCUCAGGAGUAAUCCGAAGGUGCGAACUUAAGCCCCAGUAAACGGCGGCCGUAACUAUAACGGUCCUAAGGUAGCGAAAUUCCUUGUCGGGUAAGUUCCGACCCGCACGAAAGGUGUAAUGAUUUGGGCGCUGUCUCGACAAUGCAUCCGGUGAAAUUGAAGUACCAGUGAAGAUGCUGGUUACCCGCGCCAGGACGGAAAGACCCCAUGGAGCUUUACUCUAGUUUGAUGCUGGGAUUCGAUACUGCAUGUACAGGAUAGGCGGGAGGCUAUGAAGAUGUGACGCCAGUUGCAUCAGAGCCGCUGUUGGGAUACCGCCCUUGCAGUAUUGGAUUUCUAACCUGCAGCCGUGAACCGGCCGGGGGACAACGUCAGGCGGGGAGUUUGACUGGGGCGGUCGCUCCGAAAGGGUAUCGGAGGCGCUCAAAGGUUCCCUCAGAAUGGUCGGAAACCAUUCGAAGAGUGCAAAGGCAGAAGGGAGCUUGACUGCGACACCGACGGGUGGAGCAGGUACGAAAGUAGGACUUAGUGAUCCGGUGGUAGAAAGUGGGAUUGCCAUCGCUCAACGGAUAAAAGCUACCCUGGGGAUAACAGGCUUAUCACUCCCAAGAGUUCACAUCGACGGAGUGGUUUGGCACCUCGAUGUCGGCUCAUCGCAUCCUGGGGCUGGAGCAGGUCCCAAGGGUUGGGCUGUUCGCCCAUUAAAGCGGUACGCGAGCUGGGUUCAGAACGUCGUGAGACAGUUCGGUCCCUAUCCGGCGCGGGCGUAGGAUAUCUGAAAGGAGCUGGCCUUAGUACGAGAGGACCGGGCUGGACGAACCUCUGGUUCACCGGUUGUCACACCAGUGGCAUAGCCGGGUAGCCAAGUUUGGAAGGGAUAAACGCUGAAGGCAUCUAAGCGUGAAGCCCCCCUUAAGAUGAGAUAUCCCGUGAGGAAUCACAUAAGACCCCUUAGAGACGAUGAGGUAGAUAGGGCAGAGGUGGAAGUGCGGUAACGCAUG
This 2132-nucleotide ribosomal RNA is filed under the name Roseburia sp. AM59-24XD. Its description in RNAcentral is "partial 23S ribosomal RNA". It matches the Rfam family "Bacterial large subunit ribosomal RNA", at positions 734 to 2887 of the family's 2925-position model. Lineage: Bacteria; Bacillati; Bacillota; Clostridia; Lachnospirales; Lachnospiraceae. The record is from RNAcentral.